This 830-nucleotide ribosomal RNA is filed under the name uncultured Bacillota bacterium. Its description in RNAcentral is "bacterial SSU rRNA". It matches the Rfam family "Bacterial small subunit ribosomal RNA", at positions 1 to 799 of the family's 1533-position model. Lineage: Bacteria; Bacillati; Bacillota. The record is from RNAcentral.
AGGGAGUUUGAUCCUGGCUCAGGGUUUGAUCCUGGCUUAGAGUUUGAUCCUGGCUCAGGAUGAACGCUGGCGGCGUGCUUAACACAUGCAAGUCGAACGAAGCAACUUAUUACGAUCCCUUCGGGGUGACGAUUUGUUGACUGAGUGGCGGACGGGUGAGUAACGCGUGGGUAACCUGCCUUGUACAGGGGGACAACAGUUGGAAACGACUGCUAAUACCGCAUAAGCGCACAGUACCGCAUGGUACAGUGUGAAAAGUUUUUUCGGUACAAGAUGGACCCGCGUCUGAUUAGCUAGUUGGUGAGGUAACGGCUCACCAAGGCGACGAUCAGUAGCCGACCUGAGAGGGUGACCGGCCACAUUGGGACUGAGACACGGCCCAAACUCCUACGGGAGGCAGCAGUGGGGAAUAUUGCACAAUGGGCGAAAGCCUGAUGCAGCGACGCCGCGUGAGCGAAGAAGUAUUUCGGUAUGUAAAGCUCUAUCAGCAGGGAAGAUAAUGACGGUACCUGACUAAGAAGCACCGGCUAAAUACGUGCCAGCAGCCGCGGUAAUACGUAUGGUGCAAGCGUUAUCCGGAUUUACUGGGUGUAAAGGGAGCGUAGGCGGUUUUACAAGUCUGAUGUGAAAGCCCGGGGCUCAACUCCGGUAUUGCAUUGGAAACUGUAGAACUAGAGUGUCGGAGGGGUAAGUGGAAUUCCUAGUGUAGCGGUGAAAUGCGUAGAUAUUAGGAGGAACACCAGUGGCGAAGGCGGCUUACUGGACGAUUACUGACGCUGAGGCUCGAAAGCGUGGGGAGCAAACAGGAUUAGAUACCCUGGUAGUCCCCU